RNAcentral lists this ribosomal RNA (253 nucleotides) under uncultured bacterium. RNAcentral's name for it is "partial 16S ribosomal RNA". It matches the Rfam family "Bacterial small subunit ribosomal RNA", at positions 524 to 776 of the family's 1533-position model. The record is from RNAcentral.
UACGAAGGGGGCUAGCGUUGCUCGGAAUCACUGGGCGUAAAGCGCACGUAGGCGGCUCUUUAAGUCAGGGGUGAAAUCCUGGAGCUCAACUCCAGAACUGCCUUUGAUACUGGGGAUCUCGAGUCCGGAAGAGGUGAGUGGAACUGCGAGUGUAGAGGUGAAAUUCGUAGAUAUUCGCAAGAACACCAGUGGCGAAGGCGGCUCACUGGCCCGAUACUGACGCUGAGGCACGAAAGCGUGGGGAGCAAACAGG